CGAGAUAUUCAUAAAAAUGUCUAGUGAUGACGUCACGCGCAGCCCCCCAUCUGCGGCGGAAUGGAACGGCGAUGAUGCCAUUUUUUUCUUCGUCGUUAGUGCUGGAUUGUGCUGCAAAAAGUUUUGUUUGAACUGCUACGGUUUUCGAGAUAUUCAUAAAAAUGUCUAGUGAUGACGUCACGCGCAGCCCCCCAUCUGCGGCGGAAUGAAACGGCGAUGAUGCCAUUUUUUUCUUCGUCGUUAGUGCUGGAUUGUGCUGCAAAAAGUUUUGUUUGAACUGCUACGGUUUUCGAGAUAUUCAUAAAAAUGUCUAGUGAUGACGUCACGCGCAGCCCCCCAUCUGCGGCGGAAUGGAACGGCGAUGAUGCCAUUUUUUUCUUCGUCGUUAGUGCUGGAUUGUGCUGCAAAAAGUUUUGUUUGAACUGCUACGGUUUUCGAGAUAUUCAUAAUAAUGUAAAGUGAUGACCUGUUUUCAGCGCUGCGGGCCGCACAAUCGGUUCUUGUCUCGUGACGUUUCUGGCGCAAUGCAUUGUGGGUUUUCGUGUAUUGUACAACAACAACAAGCCCGUGACGCGAUCCUUUGCUCGGCAUCCAUUCUGCGUGGUAAUCGUUGAAAAUGCAUUCCCGCCUGGAAGAGAAAAUAUGGAACUCCGAUGAGUUGACCAAGAGGCUUGAAUGGUUGCAGCGGUGAGAAGAAAGGCCAUCGCUUUUCAUUCAUCAACUGAAAACAUGUCGGUCUGUUCCCUACAUUUCCAUAAAGGAAAACCAGCAUAUGAAAGAAAUGAGGCAGACCCUGACUGGGCACCAUCCUUACGCCUGGGACACACAUGUGUUCAACCCACCAACGUGGACCGCUCUUCUAGACGAAGUAGGCAUGAGAAAUUGAGGAUGGAGGAGGACGUUGGUGCGCUACAGGAGGAGCCUUCAGCGCCCUUCAGAUGCUCCUUCUGACCUUCAUGCGCCUGCGUUAGGACCUGUCUGCACUACACAUUGCACACAUAUUCCAUGUUUCCCGUAAGACUGUGUACUGAGUAUUCAAUGACAUGGUGCCCUUUGUACAUGCUAAUUUGAGACGAGCAAUUGUUUGGCCCAACAGAGAAACACUCUAUAAAACAAUGCCUCACGAGUUUGUUGAGUCCUUCAGACGCAGAGUUGCAGUGAUUAUUGAUUUAAAAAAAAAUAAAAUAAAAUUACAGAGAAACCAUCAAAUAUUAAGGCCCGUGCGCAAAUGUUUUCUAGUUAUAAGCAUAACUACACCAUGAAAUACCUAAUUGGAAUCACACCAAAGUGGGGAAUUUGUUUCAUGUCAAAAGGUUGGGGUGGUUGCACAAGUGACAAACAUAUCACCUUGAACAGUGCUUUGCUCAAUAACCUUUUGCCUGGGGACAUUGUCUUGGCUGACAGAGGUUUUGAUAUUCAAGAACACGUGGGUAUGUUAUGUGCAGAGGUCCAACUCCCUGCGUUCACAAACGGUCGCUGUCAGUUAGCUGGUAGAGAUGUGGAGGAGACUAGGAAGAUGGCACAUUUGAGGAUCCAUGUUGAACAGGUAAUUGGUAAUCUUUGCCAGAAGUAUAAGAUCCUAACAGGAACUAUACCUAUUAACGUGGUUCUGCCAUGUGAUGGCGAAGAUUGCACAUUGUUGUAAAGAUUGUUUUAUGUUUGCGGUGCCCUUACAAACCUUUGCCCAACUGUUUUGUAGUUUGUACUGUUAUACGUGAAAGGUACCAUUUAGUAUGCUAACAGUUUCAGCCUUUCAAAUUUAGCUGUUGUUGAUUUUUUGUAUUUUGUUGUGACUUGAUUGUACUUAAUAAAACAUUGUCAUCUUGAAUCCUAUUCUUUGUAAGUACAGCAUUUGUGUCAAUACUGUAUUUUAUGUAUGUAUGUAUAUAUAUAUAUGUAUAUAUAUACACACACACACACGCAUAAUAAUGUUUAUACAAAGGACGACAGUUUACUACUUUGGCCAAGUACUUUUAAUGUUGCCAAAUUGUCAGUUAAAGCAAAUCACAAACUACCAAUCACCACUAACUUAAGUGGAGCACAGAGAGCAGAACUGACAUAUGUCUUUAGCUGUGUCAUGUUGUGUAGACCAACACAGGUUAAAUAAUAAUGGGGCAGUUCUCAUUAUCACACGCAACAAGUCAUCUUUGGUCUUCAGACCACGGCAGAAGCACCAUAACUGACAAAUACCGAUCUCUCGCUUCCUUUUCAAGCUUCUCCACAUAAGGAGUCUUGUCGUUCUUCAGGCUUUUUUCCAUUUUGAUGUGACAUUCGCGUGGCUGCUUCCCCGCAAAACUCAACAAAACAAACGUGACUGCGGCGGAUGUAGUCCAGGUCACUGAGAUACACGAAAGAUGGCGGCUCAGGUGGUCGUGAUGACGUAGGAGACAACAACCGAUAGAUCAGCGGAGAACGUCACUGAAACCUGUCAGUGGACGCAAUCUUAUUCCUGAUCUAUUGUGCGGCCCGCAGCGCUGAAAACUGAGGUCAUCACUUCACAUUAUUAUGAAUAUCUCGAAAACCGUAGCAGUUCAAACAAAACUUUUUGCAGCACAAUCCAGCACUAACGACGAAGAAAAAAAUGGCAUCAUCGC
This is a long non-coding RNA of Corythoichthys intestinalis (scribbled pipefish), 2594 nucleotides long. RefSeq lists it as uncharacterized. Lineage: Eukaryota; Metazoa; Chordata; Actinopteri; Syngnathiformes; Syngnathidae. The transcript is spliced from 3 exons. The record is from RefSeq and is a predicted model, not a curated record.